Long non-coding RNA from Oncorhynchus tshawytscha (Chinook salmon), 527 nucleotides. The record is from Ensembl. NCBI's taxonomy places the organism in Eukaryota, Metazoa, Chordata, Actinopteri, Salmoniformes, Salmonidae.
GGUGGGGGUAGUAGUAGUAGUAGUAGUGGUGAUGGGGGUAGUAGUAGCAGUAGUAGUGGUGGCGGGGGUAGUAGUAGCAGUAGUAGUGGUGAUGGGGUAGUAGUAGUAGUGGUGGUGGGGGUAGUAGUAGUAGUAGUAGUGGUGGUGGGGGUAGUAUAAGUAGUAGUGGUGAUGGGGGUAGUAGUAGCAGUAGUAGUGGUGGUGGUGGGGGGUAGUAGUAGUAGUGGUGGUGAUGGGGGCGGCGGUGGCAGCGUUGGGGUAGUGGUGGUGGUAGUAGUAGUAGUAAUAGUAGGGUGGUGGUGGGGGUAGUAGUAGUAGUAGUAGUGGUGGUGGGGGUAGUAGUAGUAGUAGUAGUAGUAGUGGUGGUGGGGGUAGUAGUAUCAGUAGUAGUAGUUGAUGGGGCUUUCUGCACAGUACACACUAAGAGGUAUUGAAAACGCUCUACUUUAUGUUUGAUUGAGGGAGUGGGCCACGGUCAAUUUCUCAAUCUAGAUAUUCAUUGGAACAUGCUAUAUAGAACCUGUUGC